Molecule: non-coding RNA, 637 nt
Organism: Biomphalaria pfeifferi
Lineage: Eukaryota; Metazoa; Mollusca; Gastropoda; Planorbidae
Source: the annotation of a GenBank genome assembly
ACCUUCUCUUCCAAUCACUUUCUCUUCCAAUCACCUUCUCUUCCUAUCACUUUCUCUUACAAUCACCUUCUCUUCCUAUCACCUUCUCUUCCAAUCACCUUCUCUUCCAAUCACCUUCCAAACACCUUCUCUUCCAAUCACGUUAUCUUCCAAACACUUUCUCUUCCUAUCACUUUCUCUUCCAAUCACCUUCUCUUCCAAUCACCUUCUCUUCCAAUCACCUUCUCUUCCAAUCACUUUCUCUUCCAAUCAAGUUCUCUUCCAAUCACCUUCUCUUCCAAUCACCUUCUCUUCCAAUCACCUUCUCUUCCAAUCACCUUCUCUUCCAAUCACCUUCCAAACACCUUCUCUUCCAAUCACGUUAUCUUCCAAACACUUUCUCUUCCAAUCACUUUCUCUUUCAAUCACCUUCUCUUCCAAUCACUUUCUCUUCCAAUCACCUUCUCUUCCUAUCACUUUCUCUUCCAAUCACCUUCUCUUCCUAUCACCUUCUCUUCCAAUCACCUUCUCUUCCAAUCACCUUCCAAACACCUUCUCUUCCAAUCACGUUAUCUUCCAAACACUUUCUCUUCCAAUCACCUUCUCUUCCAAUCACUUUCUCUUCCAAUCACCUUCUCUUCCAAUCACUUUCUCUUCC